Molecule: ribosomal RNA, 635 nt
Filed under: uncultured Caryophanales bacterium
Lineage: Bacteria; Bacillati; Bacillota; Bacilli; Caryophanales
Description: bacterial SSU rRNA
Rfam family: Bacterial small subunit ribosomal RNA
Source: RNAcentral
AGUACGGCCGCAAGGCUGAAACUCAAAGGAAUUGACGGGGGCCCGCACAAGCAGUGGAGCAUGUGGUUUAAUUCGAAGCAACGCGAAGAACCUUACCAGGUCUUGACAUCCUCUGACCACCCUAGAGAUAGGGCUUUUCCCUUCGGGGGACAGAGUGACAGGUGGUGCAUGGUUGUCGUCAGCUCGUGUCGUGAGAUGUUGGGUUAAGUCCCGCAACGAGCGCAACCCUUGAUCUUAGUUGCCAGCAUUCAGUUGGGCACUCUAAGGUGACUGCCGGUGACAAACCGGAGGAAGGUGGGGAUGACGUCAAAUCAUCAUGCCCCUUAUGACCUGGGCUACACACGUGCUACAAUGGGUGGUACAAAGGGCAGCGAAACCGCGAGGUCGAGCGAAUCCCAUAAAGCCACUCUCAGUUCGGAUUGCAGGCUGCAACUCGCCUGCAUGAAGCCGGAAUUGCUAGUAAUCGCGGAUCAGCAUGCCGCGGUGAAUACGUUCCCGGGCCUUGUACACACCGCCCGUCACACCACGAGAGUUUGUAACACCCGAAGUCGGUGAGGUAACCGUAAGGAACCAGCCGCCGAAGGUGGGACAAAUGAAUGGGGUGAAGUCGUAACAAGGUAGCCGUAUCGGAAGGU